Molecule: transfer-messenger RNA, 346 nt
Filed under: Sphingomonadaceae bacterium
Lineage: Bacteria; Pseudomonadati; Pseudomonadota; Alphaproteobacteria; Sphingomonadales; Sphingomonadaceae
Rfam family: Alphaproteobacteria transfer-messenger RNA
About the family: Bacterial tmRNA, also known as 10Sa RNA or SsrA, is named for its dual tRNA and mRNA-like properties. Its role is to liberate the mRNA from a stalled ribosome.
Source: RNAcentral
CCGGUUGAAACCCCGGCCGCGCGAGCGCAUAUCGAUCGGGCCGCCUCGGCGGCUAUGGCGAUAGAGCGGCGCGUGGCAUAGACGCAGCGGACCCGGGGGCAGUACCCGGCGGCUCCACCAUCGCCCCUCGACGAAGGCGAGGGGCGGCGUUGGGGCCGAACUAGGAUCGACGUGCGUAAUAAAGACGCGUUCGUUCGCCCGGCCUGAAUGCGCCGUAAAACCGUUCAAAAACCCACAAAUGCCAACGACAACGAGGCAUUCGCGAUUGCUGCGUAACUGAGCCCUAACGGGUAACGUUACAAAGCCUGAGCGCGGCCGGGCCCGCCGGGCAACAGAAGGGACUCCA